RNAcentral lists this ribosomal RNA (494 nucleotides) under uncultured bacterium. RNAcentral describes it as "partial 16S ribosomal RNA". It matches the Rfam family "Bacterial small subunit ribosomal RNA", at positions 28 to 507 of the family's 1533-position model. The record is from RNAcentral.
GACGAACGCUGGCGGCGCGCUUAACACAUGCAAGUCGAACGGAAAGGCCUGCUUUCCCUUGUGGAUUGCGGGUACUCGAGUGGCGAACGGGUGAGUAACACGUGAGUGAUCUGCCCCCAACUUGGGUAUAAGCCUGGGAAACUGGGUCUAAUUCCCGAUAGGACUGCAGGGUGGUGCCUGUGGUGGAAAACGAUUUUCUAGUGGUUGGGGAUGAGCUCGCGGCCUAUCAGCUUGUUGGUGGGGUAAUGGCCUACCAAGGCGGCGACGGGUAGCCGGCCUGAGAGGGUGGACGGCCACAUUGGGACUGAGAUACGGCCCAGACUCCUACGGGAGGCAGUAGUGGGGAAUAUUGCACAAUGGGCGGAAGCCUGAUGCAGCGACGCCGCGUGGGGGAUGACGGCCUUCGGGUUGUAAACUCCUUUCGACCGCGAGGAAGCCACCUGGUUGGAAGGGUGGUGACGGUAGUGGUAGAAGAAGCACCGGCUAACUACGUG